GACGAACGCUGGCGGCGUGCUUAACACAUGCAAGUCGAACGGAAAGGCCCUGCUUUUGUGGGGUGCUCGAGUGGCGAACGGGUGAGUAACACGUGAGUAACCUGCCCUUGACUUUGGGAUAACUUCAGGAAACUGGGGCUAAUACCGGAUAGGAGCUCCUGCUGCAUGGUGGGGGUUGGAAAGUUUCGGCGGUUGGGGAUGGACUCGCGGCUUAUCAGCUUGUUGGUGAGGUAGUGGCUUACCAAGGCUUUGACGGGUAGCCGGCCUGAGAGGGUGACCGGCCACAAUGGGCCUGAGAUACGGACCAGACUGCUACGGGAGGCAGCAGUGGGGAAUAUUGCACAAUGGGCGGAAGCCUGAUGCAGCAACGCCGCGUGCGGGAUGACGGCCUUCGGGUUGUAAACCGCUUUCGACUGUGACGAAGCGUGCGUGACGGUAAUGGGUCAAGAAGCACCGGCUAACUACGUG
RNAcentral lists this ribosomal RNA (468 nucleotides) under uncultured bacterium. RNAcentral's name for it is "partial 16S ribosomal RNA". It matches the Rfam family "Bacterial small subunit ribosomal RNA", at positions 28 to 507 of the family's 1533-position model. The record is from RNAcentral.